GCCGCAUUCUGGCACAAGCAACGCCACAUCAACCUCGGCUACCGCUGGACUGAGGUGGGCUCAUGCAUGUGAUAUCAGUUGCAAGCACUUGUGCAGCUAGCUUAUGUGGGGUCCCAGAUGUUUUGUGCGAAAUCUGGUAGAUCAUUCAUCUUAUAUCAGGUUUGCAGCAUCCCUUGGGAUGUGCCCCCGGGUCUGUGCAGUUAUUUGCAUUGGCGAGCAGCGCCCCAUCAACCUCGGCUACCGCUGGACUGAGGUGCGCGCCCAGCACUGCCCAUACUUGUGUCGUUCUACAAGGAGGUUUUCACACAGCAUGUGAAGGUCUCACAUGUCGUGUGCACAAGACUAUCCAAAUGCCAUUCUGUGGAACGCGCAUCCCGGUCUAUGCAAUUGUCAUCUGUUGCAUAUUCGA
Molecule: long non-coding RNA, 409 nt
Filed under: Coccomyxa subellipsoidea
Lineage: Eukaryota; Viridiplantae; Chlorophyta; Trebouxiophyceae; Coccomyxaceae
Description: long non-coding RNA (CSUB_LNC000067)
Source: RNAcentral